RNAcentral lists this ribosomal RNA (253 nucleotides) under uncultured bacterium. RNAcentral describes it as "partial 16S ribosomal RNA". It matches the Rfam family "Bacterial small subunit ribosomal RNA", at positions 524 to 776 of the family's 1533-position model. The record is from RNAcentral.
UACGUAGGUGGCAAGCGUUGUCCGGAUUUACUGGGCGUAAAGAGCGCGCAGGCGGUCGUUCAAGUCGAGUGUGAAAGCCCCCGGCUCAACUGGGGAGGGUCACUCGAUACUGAUCGACUCGAAGGCAGAAGAGGGAAGCGGAAUUCCCGGUGUAGUGGUGAAAUGCGCAGAUAUCAGGAGGAACACCGGUGGCGAAGGCGGAUCUCUGGGCCUUACCUGACGCUCAGGUGCGAAAGCUAGGGGAGCGAACAGG